GCCUCCUUAGCUCAGUUGGCUAGAGCGGCUGUCUUGUAAACAGCAGGUCGACGGUUCGAAUCCGCCAGGAGGCU
RNAcentral lists this transfer RNA (74 nucleotides) under Aeriscardovia sp. Its description in RNAcentral is "tRNA-Thr". It matches the Rfam family "tRNA". From Rfam's summary of the family: Transfer RNA (tRNA) molecules are approximately 80 nucleotides in length. Their secondary structure includes four short double-helical elements and three loops (D, anti-codon, and T loops). Lineage: Bacteria; Bacillati; Actinomycetota; Actinomycetes; Bifidobacteriales; Bifidobacteriaceae. RNAcentral also lists the same sequence under 1 other name. The record is from RNAcentral.